UGCUCUGACCCUGCCAUGGGCACCAGGCUCCUCUGCUGGGCGACCCUCUGUCUCCUGGGGGCAGGUCACACAGAAGCUGGCGUCUCCCAGUCCCCCAGGCACAGGGUCACAGGGAGGGGCCAGAAUGUCACUCUCAGGUGUGAUCCAGUUUCUGAUCACAAUCGCCUUUAUUGGUACCGACAGAUGCUGGGGCAGGGCCUGGAGAUUCUGACUUAUUUUCAGAACAAAGAUGCAGUAGACACGUCAGGGAUGCCUGAUGCUCGGUUCUCUGCUAAGAGGCCUCAGGGCUCGUCCUCCAUCCCUGGAGAUCCAGCGAGUGGAGCCGGGGGACUCGGCCAUGUACCUCUGCACCAGCAGCCUCGUCACAGUGGGACACAGCCACCUCCUUUCUGUUCACAAACCCCCAUGUGCUCACCUCUCCUCACAGAUCCCAGGAACUGCCAAAUAAAGGAGUUACCCCUUCUCCCCUCAUCAGGAGGAAUGGGUGGGUUUGGGACUUCAGCGUUCUGGUAGUCGCAGGUCAGAAAAUAAUCUGGGUUGUAGUAAUUUUUGUUUCAAGGUUUCUGAGAUUCCUUUAUACAGUUCAAGAUUCUAAAACUGGGAUUGA
This is a non-coding RNA of Vicugna pacos (alpaca), 607 nucleotides long. NCBI's taxonomy places the organism in Eukaryota, Metazoa, Chordata, Mammalia, Artiodactyla, Camelidae. The record is from the annotation of a RefSeq genome assembly.